CUGUACUUGGUGUUACUGCGAAGGGGGGACGGAGAAGGCUAUGUUGGCCGGGCGACGGUUGUCCCGGUUUAAGCGUGUAGGCUGGUUUUCCAGGCAAAUCCGGAAAACCAAGGCUGAGGCGUGAUGACGAGGCACUACGGUGCUGAAGCGACAAAUGCCCUGCUUCCAGGAAAAGCCUCUAAGCAUCAGGUAACAUCAAAUCGUACCCCAAACCGACACAGGUGGUCAGGUAGAGAAUACCAAGGCGCUUGAGAGAACUCGGGUGAAGGAACUAGGCAAAAUGGUGCCGUAACUUCGGGAGAAGGCACGCUGAUAUGUAGGUGAAGCGACUUGCUCGUGGAGCUGAAAUCAGUCGAAGAUACCAGCUGGCUGCAACUGUUUAUUAAAAACACAGCA
Molecule: ribosomal RNA, 396 nt
Filed under: Escherichia coli
Lineage: Bacteria; Pseudomonadati; Pseudomonadota; Gammaproteobacteria; Enterobacterales; Enterobacteriaceae
Description: partial 23S ribosomal RNA
Rfam family: Bacterial large subunit ribosomal RNA
Source: RNAcentral